This 350-nucleotide long non-coding RNA is filed under the name Salvia miltiorrhiza (redroot sage). RNAcentral's name for it is "long non-coding RNA (SMIL_LNC009265)". The record is from RNAcentral. Lineage: Eukaryota; Viridiplantae; Streptophyta; Magnoliopsida; Lamiales; Lamiaceae.
AUUGAAUGUCAUUUCACAUCAGCUUAAAAGCUCCACCACCAAAACCUUCUUCCAUUUCUCAUCUUUUUUCGUCUUCCGCUCUCCCAUUUUCAAAACCUAGUAAGAUUCUUAUUUUAAUUGAUGUUAAAAAAAAAGGCAGCUUGAAGAAAUGUUUGAAAACAUUUUAAUUUUCACGUUUAAUUUUAAUUUUGCUCGUUGUAGGAGAUUUUUCAUGCUUGAAGGAUGUGAUCUGAUAAUGAACUUCGAAAUGUGUGAAAAACGAAAAAUGUUGGCAUGUUCUGUUUGUGAAAUUGAGCUGAUUUACUUUUGUGGAUAUUUUGGAGUGUUACUUGUGUGUGUGUGUGAGAGAG